This 364-nucleotide transfer-messenger RNA is filed under the name bacterium. Its description in RNAcentral is "CAIXRL01 sp016215625 Standard tmRNA". It matches the Rfam family "transfer-messenger RNA". From Rfam's summary of the family: Bacterial tmRNA, also known as 10Sa RNA or SsrA, is named for its dual tRNA and mRNA-like properties. Its role is to liberate the mRNA from a stalled ribosome. The record is from RNAcentral. RNAcentral also lists the same sequence under 1 other name.
GGGGGCGACAGGCUUCGACGGGGGACCUGAACCAACGAGUGCAAGCCGGGGACCCAUCAACCUCGUCAAGAAAAAUGGGAAAAACUCAUCUGCCAACGAGCAGAUGGCUCUCGCUGCCUAGUUAAAAACUAGACCCAGCGACGCCUUCCCGGACCCUGCCUGUGGGGGCCGGAGCGGGCGCCAGACAAACACAGGCUGGUCCAAUGCGGCGGCCCGACCGCGGCGGACGAGACCUUUUCGGGCUGGCGAGCAGCGACCCUGUCGGCCGGGGCAACGCUCGCGAGACUCAAAUGACCGACUACGCUUGUAGGACUCGUUGCGGACGGACUUUCGGACGCGGGUUCGAUUCCCGCCGCCUCCACCA